ACGCGUGCCCCUGACUUCUCUUUUAUCUCCUCGAAUCCCACCUUUUCUCACCCGCCGCCGCAGUUCAGUCACUGCUACUCACGCCGCCGCCGUCGUCCCUCCUCACGCUGACGCCGCAGCCACUACCGAUGCUGCCGUAGGUGUCUUCGCCGCCGCCGCCACCUCUUUUCCCAACCCUCCUCCAACCCUAGCCGUCGUUCGAUAUUGAUUAGAACAGCCGAGAGCCUCAUGCACUAUCUCGGCUACCGCUAAUUUCGCUUUCCGUUUCUGCUAGCGUUUCUGUAGUUGCGCCGCCAAUGCUCCACAGCAACCAGCAUGAUUAGAUCUCCGAUUCAGCUGGAGUUUUCUUGCUUGUCUCCCUAAACUAUCUUGUGCAUGAUUAGCCAUACACCAUAGAUAAUAUAUACAUAAAAUGAUUUUGAUUGCUUGACUGUGAAGUAGGAAUUGGAUUAAGCUUAUCCUAUAUGCAUUUGAUUACUGCUAUAAAGUAAUUUUAGCACAUGAUGUUAGAAGACAAGCAAUAGGUUUAUUUGAGAAAUAAAUUAGACCUUAGAUUGGGGAUAGAUCUUCUAAAGCUUAUUUACCACUUUCUAUAAGAAAAUUUAAUUACAUGCUCCUAUAUCCCUCUAUUGCUUGUCCUUUUAUAGUCCUGUUGUUUAUCUGAUUGUUGUUGCUAUUAAAAUUGAUUAAUGAUAUUUACAAUGGAUAACAGAAAUUUGGAGAUAACAGAGGAGAACUUAGGAUAGUUCUCUUAAAGAGAAUACAAACCCUUAUGAGAAUUUUAAGAGGUUAAAUAACGAGAAUAAUUUUGUUGAAGUAGUUACCUAAAACUGAAUAAUAUGAGAUAGCUUCGAUAGGAAUAUGAUCCUCGAGUUUAUAUUGCAGAAUAAUUCCCUCCCUUUAUGCAACCUUGCCCAAUCAUCCAAUUAAUUCGGGUUAAUCACUUCAAAUCAUUGUUGAUAAAAGCAACAAUAAUAUUUAAAAGUUUGAAUAUAUUAACACAUUCGCAAUAGUAGAAAUGAAAUUAUUUCCAGUUGAAGUUUUGGUAUUGCCGUUGUCACCAAACAAUUAUUGUUUAGGAUGAACUGUAUGUAUUUUUUUUUUUAUAAAUUUGCUAGAGUGAUCCAUGCUUAAUUAUUGAAAGAGUAAAAAUAUAAAACAGAUCUCUUUUUUCAAAAAUAUUCAAAACGAUCUUUUCUUUAGUCAUUUUCAUUCUUACUAUUUAUGUUUUUGCAAACCUAAUACAAAAGCAAUAGAAAGUUGUUUUUUUGCAACUCUAUAAAUAUGAAAUAUUGAAUAUUUUCAAUUUCCUGCUUAAAAUUAUAAGUUAUAAGAUUUAAGUACUUUUGGAUACACAUAAUGUUGGUCUUUUUCUAUUUAUAAAAGGCAGUCCGGUGCACAAAACUCCCGUCAUGCGGGGUCCCGGGGAAGGAUCCAUUGUAUGCGGUCUUACCCUGCUUUUUGCAAGAGGCUAUUUCAAGGUCUUUUUCUGUUUAUCUCUUAGGUAAAUGUUAAUUAUGUCAACUAAUAUCGACAUAGGGCUUUGAUUCUUAAUAUUGAUUUUUAUUUUAUAUAAUUAGUUAUUUUCUACUAUGCUAUAUAAUCAAUUCUUUCUUAGCCAAAAUGUACCUUCCUUUCUUCUUAGUACUUCCUUUUUUUUACAUGUUGUCCAGCUUUCCCACUUCUUGCUUGCAAUUUUUUUAUUUAUUUUUUUCAUGUUGUCGUGGAUACAGAGUUGAUGAAAUCUAGUAUUAGUCAUUCUUUAGUUAGUUCUUUAUACUUUCUAUCAUAAUAGUGCAACGACGUUUUGAUUAUUGAACAUUCAGGUUUAACCUUUAUAAAGAGAACUAGGAUACACAGGAGGCUCUAGAACUGAUUGGAAAGAUGCUGGGAGUCAAUGCACAUCACAGAUUUAACAGAGUUUUAUUUCCUUUUUCGUUGUUUUCUCCUUUGGCAAUACUUGAUGCUAUGUAAUUUUUCUAUAUAACUGAGCAUUAUUCCUGACAGCAACGAUCAUUUGGCUUUGCUGGUACGAAAGAUAAACUAUCCGUGUCUACUCAGAGGGAAUGAAUUUCCUUUUGCAAAAUGUUACCAUCUUCAAGCAGCGGGCAUAAAGGUUGGUGAACUUAACAGCAUAAUGUUUGGGGUUAAAUUAGGAGAUUUCUGUUACGUGAAUGAGGGGCUUAUUCUGGGUCAGCUGACUGGAAACUAUUUCACAAUUACUUUGAGAGGGAUCACUGCAGAUUCUGAAGAUAUCAUCAAAGAAGCCACAGAUACCUUACGGAGAAAUGGAUUUAUCAACUAUUAUGGUUUAAACAGAUAAAGAUAAUGAAGAUAAAGUAAGUAUCAAAACAACAUUGUCUAAGCAAAAAUCAAAUACUCUAGAAGAGGAUAUCAAUGAAGAGAAAGGAGGUGAAGGAGGAUCAGAAGAAAUUGAUGUGGAUGAUAUUAUUGAUGAAAUUUAAAAAAUACUGUAUUAUUUGUUUAGUUUCAUCCCUUCAUAGAGUAUUAGAGUUAUUGAACUUUUCCUUUCAGUUUUAUUUUAUGUUUUUAAUUAUUAU
Molecule: RNA transcript, 2561 nt
Organism: Zingiber officinale
Lineage: Eukaryota; Viridiplantae; Streptophyta; Magnoliopsida; Zingiberales; Zingiberaceae
Gene name: pseudouridylate synthase 7 homolog
Exons: 5
Source: RefSeq, a predicted model, not a curated record